AGGUAAUAGAAAACUAGCUAUUCUAUUUGCAUUGUGUUGUUUAACCUUGGUCUCAACUAGUCCAACCAGGUCAAACUUAUUAUUCCUAAGAUAAUUCUGUGCUUCUUUUUGUUUGAACCUUUUAUUUACACCUCUAAUAUUCCAAAAGAUCCACUUUAUUGGGUUUUACUUGUUCCCCCUUCAUCUUGGGAUGAUCAGACCAUCUAACUGACCCAAUUUCA
RNAcentral lists this long non-coding RNA (221 nucleotides) under Nicotiana benthamiana. RNAcentral describes it as "long non-coding RNA (NBEN_LNC009283)". The record is from RNAcentral. Lineage: Eukaryota; Viridiplantae; Streptophyta; Magnoliopsida; Solanales; Solanaceae.